RNAcentral lists this long non-coding RNA (202 nucleotides) under Homo sapiens (human). Its description in RNAcentral is "non-protein coding lnc-GLRX3-3:3". The record is from RNAcentral. Lineage: Eukaryota; Metazoa; Chordata; Mammalia; Primates; Hominidae.
AGCGCCUCGGGGCCAGUGUGGCCCGGAAUGGCAGAUGCAAAUCCAGGAAGGCCAUUCACGACGUUGUCACAGAAGAAGUGGAGGUCAGUACCACUGCCAUCAUGACUGCAAGCAGAGCAAAUGGACAGAGCUCGCAGAGUGGCCCCAGAGCCUGCCUGGGCCCCCUUCUCACUGCUCCUCCACUCCCUGGUCUGCUGAGAGC